GUACAAUCAUUUUCACUAGUGCAAUGAGUGUUGCUUUUUUCCGCUAGGUAGAUUCUCAUUAAAGUGACGGGAGGAAAAGACUUAGUGGAACUGCUUAUAAGAAGUUAGCUAAACAAAAAGCUGACAAAAUUAAUUCAAAAUAAAAAGCAAAUUCCCAAAAUAUUCAGUUUUUUUUUUGAAAAACAUGGUGAUUGUAACACUAUUACAACAACCGAACUGAAUCUUGUAGACCAACAACUAAUGACAUAAUCGAAUGAUACUGAACCGGGUUCCUCAAGAGUUUCCUCUCUAGUUACAGCUGAAGAUGAACCGGAAUGCUCUACCAAACUCGAGAAUGAGGAAGAGGAAAAUGCGUCAGCUGAGUUUCUUCUUCUCUUCCGCCUAUUCCCCCUUCUCACCACCUACUCGCAAGUCCGCCCCCCUAUUACAUGGUAUUGGACGGGGCGGCAAAUCAGGUCUGGCUCGUAGGUGGCAAAUUCGUAAAUCCGCCACUGCUUAGGAGGUUUUGAAAUACUCAUCAUAUGAUGAAUACUUAGCAGUCUUGUUAAGCAUCUAUUAUUUUUAGGAAGUUUGUAUGGUUUUUCUCGUAAUUCAUUUCUUACUUUCAAUCAGUAUAAUGAACAAAUUUAAAUUUAAACAAAAUGAUAUUGAACACUCUUUAAAGGUCGAUCCACACAUAUCUCUAACGUGACGUACCUUCAGUGGAAAAAAAUAUCAGCUGACGAAAUUAUCAGUAAACUAAAGGGGGUUUCAAACAUGAACGGCAACGCGACAACUUGGGGUCCUUCAUAUUGUAAAGAACUAGUUCUCGAACCAAUUCGAUGAGAAGCUCGUCGGUCGUAUUACAAAAACGAGGUGCAUACAGAAAAUAUUGAAAAGUGAAUUGAUCAAACUCUUUUUCACGGUACGGACAUGUAUGAAUCGACCUUAAUUCUUGAUUUAAUCGAUAACGUAAACUUUAGUAAAUAAUGUUUGUAAGUACUCACAUUCCCAGUUCCUAAUCCAAUAAUUGGUAUUUCUAUGCCAUUGAAACAUUCAACUGUUCGAACUUUCGCCAUUUUGAAAACAAUAAAUGAAAUACACUCAACGGUCUCGUUGAAAAUGAAUCGAUAAUUACUUUGUUAGUUUGAAAAAAAAAUCCGAUAGUCACUUUAAGUUCAUUUACAGUAAUAAUGUUAUCAUAGGCGUAGCGUGCCUUGGCGAGGCCCCGUAUACAUAUUUGUUUGGGGGCUCCUAGGAAGGAUAAAGAUUUCUUACUAAAGAAAAACAAAUAGCAUGAAAUUAAAAGGAAUAUUUAUUCAUCAUAAUUAUCUAUUUGUCACUUUUUUCAAAAACUGUACAAACAACGGAAUCCUAAAAACAAAAUUCACCGUUCGUUACAGGUAAAUAGGAUAAAAGGGUUGGGUAGUACUUACUUUUGCAAUCUAAAUCACUCACGGGAGCUGAAAAUAUGAAGAAAUUCUUUUUGUUGCUCCGCUAGGAUAAUCUCUUUUCCUUUCACUAUUUUUUUUUUACAAAUCGCUACUAAUUGUUUGUAUUGUAUUACAAUGUAAUGCACAAAUAAAAAAAAACGCGUUAAUAAACACUGCUCCGUGAUUUAUCUUGUAUCGUAUGUAUAUCAAUUAUUGAGGGAUUCCCCCGUUGACUUAAACGGGGAAAUCCCGCGAUAACCAAUGUUGCCAAAUUUUUUACUUUUUACUUUUUUUGACUUUUGUCAGUUGUGAAAUAAAAAAAUGUGGAAAGUUUUUUAUUAGUUUUUGCUUACGCACGUUGGGGGCCCCGUAUAAUUGAUACGGCGGUAGCUACGCCCCUGAAUGUUAUCAUUUAGUUGUAUCAUUUUUUAACAAAUAUUUCAAACUCAUUAAGCAUAAUUAAUAAUAUAAUAGAUAGCGCCUAAAACAAUUUUUGAAGAAAUAAAUUACAAAAACCAAAAUUAGCAAAUGCGGCAAUACUGCAAUCUUUUUUUUUGAUAUGGCACAUCCGAUGUGAUAUUUCUGUAACUUUAUUUUGAUAUGUUCUUGAAUCGUUAGAGGAAUUUUUAUUUAGGUUCGCGUUUGAUUGGAACUAAUUAUCAUAUCGUUCUAUUUUCAAAUUUAUCUUCAAUCUUAAUUAUAUAAUCUGUCAAAAAUCACUAGUGGUAAUAACUUUACGAGUGGGUUAAAUUUAGAACCGAUUCGGAAUCAGUUUAGUAUGCUCGCGAUUCAUAAUUAGGCCUUCUACACACGGAGAAUUAUAAUCGAUGUUAUUCAAUGGAAAAUAACAGAUGACGCUACUAGUUACUAACCGUUACUAACUAGUAGCGCCAUCUGUUAUGUUCCGUUGAAUAAGAUUGGUAGUGACUCAACAGGGAGAGAAAUAAUUAUUUUAGUUUGAGCUUCAGGCUUGUUAUACGAUUCGAAUUCUGUCUUUUCAGCUUUACUUGGCGUUUCAGAUGAAAACUCAAACUUCUUCCUGGUACCUUCAACGAUUCUGACCGCAUCGUACAACUCCAGCACGUCCAUUUUACGUCGGUAAUUCUCCUGCACCUUGAUACCUUUGACGCAAUUCAUUGUAGCACUAGACGAACUCGAACUUUGCAAACAUUUUUUUCAAAAUCUUAAGGUAAAAUUAGAGGCCUAUCAAGUGUAGGAAUCAAUCUUAUUUAUAAGAUAAAGUAAAAUGGCAGCCAAGUCAAAAAGUUUGUUACUUUCUAGACUGACCUCGUAUAUACAACCAUGAAAAAACGUAUGAUGUAUGGCUGGGGAAAGAACAUUAUUUCUAACUAAUAAAAUUGUAUAUUGAUAAUUCUAUAAAUACAAUUAACUUAAAAA
Molecule: long non-coding RNA, 2810 nt
Organism: Diorhabda carinulata
Lineage: Eukaryota; Metazoa; Arthropoda; Insecta; Coleoptera; Chrysomelidae
Exons: 2
Source: RefSeq, a predicted model, not a curated record